AUACGGAGGGUCCAAGCGUUAUCCGGAUUCAUGGGGUUUAAAGGGUCCGCAGGCGGGAAAAUAAGUCAGUGGUGAAAGCCUACAGCUCAACUGUAGAACUGCCAUUGAUACUGUUUUUCUUGAGUAUAGAUGAAGUGGGCGGAAUAUAUCAUGUAGCGGUGAAAUGCAUAGAUAUGAUAUAGAACACCGAUUGCGAAGGCAGCUCACUAAACUAUUACUGACGCUCAGGGACGAAAGCGUGGGGAGCGAACAGGAUUAGAAACCCUAGUAGUCC
Molecule: ribosomal RNA, 274 nt
Filed under: uncultured bacterium
Lineage: Bacteria
Description: partial 16S ribosomal RNA
Rfam family: Bacterial small subunit ribosomal RNA
Source: RNAcentral